This 274-nucleotide ribosomal RNA is filed under the name uncultured bacterium. RNAcentral describes it as "partial 16S ribosomal RNA". It matches the Rfam family "Bacterial small subunit ribosomal RNA", at positions 523 to 796 of the family's 1533-position model. The record is from RNAcentral.
AUACGGAGGGUGCGAGCGUUAAUCGGAAUUACUGGGCGUAAAGCGCGCGUAGGCGGUUUGUUAAGUCGGGUGUGAAAUCCCCGGGCUCAACCUGGGACCUGCAUCCGAUACUGGCAGGCUAGAGUCUGGUAGAGGGGGGUAGAAUUCCUGGUGUAGCGGUGAAAUGCGUAGAUAUCAGGAGGAAUACCAGUGGCGAAGGCGGCCCCCUGGACUGAGACUGACGCUGAGGUGCGAAAGCGUGGGGAGCAAACAGGAUUAGAUACCCUAGUAGUCC